RNAcentral lists this long non-coding RNA (466 nucleotides) under Physcomitrium patens. RNAcentral's name for it is "long non-coding RNA (PPAT_LNC006588)". Lineage: Eukaryota; Viridiplantae; Streptophyta; Bryopsida; Funariales; Funariaceae. The record is from RNAcentral.
UUUAGGAUUUGGAUUAGAGUUUGGACUAGGAUUUGAUUAGGGUUUGAUUUAAGGUUUGGUUUAGGAUUUAGGAUUUGGAUUAGAGUUUAGGGUUAGAUUAGGGUUUGGAUUAGGGUUUGGAUUAGGAUUUGGAUUAAGGUUGGAUUUAGGGUUUGAAUUAAGGUUUGGUUAGGAUUUGAUUUAAGGUUUGAUUUAGGGUUUAGGGUUGGUUUAGGGUUUGGUUUAGGAUUUGAUUUAGGGUUUGAUUUAAGGUUUAAGGUUUGAAAUAGGGUUUAAUUUAAGAUUUAUUUAGGAUUUGACUUAGGGUUUAGGAAUUAUUAGGAUUUAAGAUUUAAUUAGGUUUGGUCUAAAGUUGAGUGAAAUUCAAUAGGAUUUUAACUAGAAUUAAAUUAAGGUUGAAUUGACAUAUAUUUGAAUAAAAUUUGUGAUCAUUCUAAUAUUUUUUUAAGAAUUUUAUUGUUUGUUU